AGUGAACGCUGGCGGUAGGCCUAACACAUGCAAGUCGAACGGCAGCACAGUAAGAGCUUGCUCUUACGGGUGGCGAGUGGCGGACGGGUGAGGAAUACAUCGGAAUCUACUUUUUCGUGGGGGAUAACGUAGGGAAACUUACGCUAAUACCGCAUACGACCUACGGGUGAAAGCAGGGGAUCUUCGGACCUUGCGCGACUGAAUGAGCCGAUGUCGGAUUAGCUAGUUGGCGGGGUAAAGGCCCACCAAGGCGACGAUCCGUAGCUGGUCUGAGAGGAUGAUCAGCAACACUGGAACUGAGACACGGUCCAGACUCCAACGGGAGGGAGCAGUGGGGAAUAUUGGACAAUGGGCGCAAGCCUGAUCCAGCCAUACCGCGUGGGUGAAGAAGGCCUUCGGGUUGUAAAGCCCUUUUGUUGGGAAAGAAAAGCAGCAGGUUAAUACCCCGCUGUUCUGACGGUACCCAAAGAAUAAGCACCGGCUAACUUCGUG
RNAcentral lists this ribosomal RNA (492 nucleotides) under uncultured bacterium. RNAcentral describes it as "partial 16S ribosomal RNA". It matches the Rfam family "Bacterial small subunit ribosomal RNA", at positions 29 to 507 of the family's 1533-position model. The record is from RNAcentral.